This 505-nucleotide ribosomal RNA is filed under the name uncultured bacterium. RNAcentral describes it as "partial 16S ribosomal RNA". It matches the Rfam family "Bacterial small subunit ribosomal RNA", at positions 28 to 507 of the family's 1533-position model. The record is from RNAcentral.
GACGAACGCUGGCGGCGUGCCUAAUACAUGCAAGUAGAACGCACAGUUUAUACCGUAGCUUGCUACACCAUAGACUGUGAGUUGCGAACGGGUGAGUAACGCGUAGGUAACCUGCCUGGUAGCGGGGGAUAACUAUUGGAAACGAUAGCUAAUACCGCAUAAUAUUGAUUAUUGCAUGAUAAUUGAUUGAACGAUGCUAUUGCAUCACUACCAGAUGGACCUGCGUUGUAUUAGCUAGUAGGUGAGGUAACGGCUCACCUAGGCGACGAUACAUAGCCGACCUGAGAGGGUGAUCGGCCACACUGGGACUGAGACACGGCCCAGACUCCUACGGGAGGCAGCAGUAGGGAAUCUUCGGCAAUGGACGAAAGUCUGACCGAGCAACGCCGCGUGAGUGAAGAAGGUGUUCGGAUCGUAAAGCUCUGUUGUAAGAGAAGAACGGGUGUGAGAGUGGAAAGUUCACACUGUGACGGUAUCUUACCAGAAAGGGACGGCUAACUACGUG